RNAcentral lists this ribosomal RNA (112 nucleotides) under Caerostris darwini. The record is from RNAcentral. Lineage: Eukaryota; Metazoa; Arthropoda; Arachnida; Araneae; Araneidae.
AACGGCCGUACCAUGCUGAAUAUACCGGUUCUCGUUAGAUCACCGAAGUUAAGCAUCAUUGGGCGCGGUCAGUACUUGGGUGGGUGACCACCUGGGAACACCGCAUGCCGUU